UCCAGCCCCAGGACUCCCACGUGUCCACUCAGUGAUCGCACUGAACACAGACGCUCACCAUGGAGAUUGGGCUGCGCUGGGUUCUCCUGGUCGCUGUGCUCAAAGGUGUCCAGUGCCAGUCGGUGAAGGAGUCCGGAGGAGGCCUGAUCAAGCCUGGGGAAACCCUGUCACUCACCUGCACAGUCUCUGGAUUCUCCCUCAGUAGCUAUGCAAUGAGCUGGGUCCGCCAGGCUCCAGGGAAGGGGCUGGAAUAUAUCGGAAUCAUUAGUAGUGGUGGUAGCGCAUACUACGCGAGCUGGGCGAAAAGCCGAUGCACCAUCUCCAGAGACACCAACCAGAACACGGUGUCUCUGAAAAUGACCGGUCUGACAGCCGCGGACACGGCCACCUAUUUCUGUGCGAGAGACACAGUGAGGGGCCCUCAGGCUGAGCCCAGACACAAACCUCCCUGCAGGGGCGCGCGGCUCCACCAGGGGGCGCACAAGACGCACUGA
This is a non-coding RNA of Lepus europaeus (European hare), 494 nucleotides long. The record is from the annotation of a RefSeq genome assembly. NCBI's taxonomy places the organism in Eukaryota, Metazoa, Chordata, Mammalia, Lagomorpha, Leporidae.